Oncorhynchus tshawytscha (Chinook salmon) is the source of this 3884-nucleotide long non-coding RNA. The record is from Ensembl. NCBI's taxonomy places the organism in Eukaryota, Metazoa, Chordata, Actinopteri, Salmoniformes, Salmonidae.
CUUCUCCAUGCCUGGCGAUUUGACUGUCAACACGUUCUGCUCUGAAGGGGGGCUACACAGCGCUUCACCUGGCCUCUAUACAUGGACACCAGCACGUCAUCCAGCUCCUGAUCAACAUCUACAAUGCCAGAACUAACAUCAGGGACUACCAUGGCAAGCUUGCAGCCCAUUACUGGAGUGGCAAUGCUGAUGUGUUCAACAAACCAGGCUCGCAGUCAUGUGGGAAAUGGUCAUCAAAAGGAGGAAGAAAGGUCCAGCGCUACACCAACCUACCCUCUCUGCUCCUCUCUCGCUCGCGGAGCCAGGGGAACCUCAACAACCUGGAGUUUGGGACUGCGCCUCAGACCCCACGGCCCCCCCGCUCCCCAUCCAGUAUAGACUUCCACAGCUUCCAAUCCCCACAGCUCUAUGGAGAUCAUUUCUGAUUAAAGAUAGAUAAUAAUUAUUUUAUUUUGCAUCCCAAAUGGCACCCUAUUCCCUAUAUAGUGCAUAUAUAUAUAUAUACACACACACACACACAAAAGGAGUGAACCAUGUAGGGAAUAGGGUGCCAUUUGGGACGUAAUCUUAUUUUUCUAUUACGAUCAUGGCUAUAUCAUGGCUAUAAAGUAUGAUUGGUCACUUCAGAGAAGCACAAAAGGAUUUGAUUGAUUGAAAGUUAAAGUUGUUCAACUGUCUGGCACAGGUCUCUCUCCUUACUAUGGAAUUUAGCAUGUACACUGAACAUAAAUAUGAACGCAACAUGUAAAGUGUUGGUCCCAUUUUUUUAAUGAGCUGAAAUCAAAGAUCCCAGAAAUAUUCCAUAUGCACAAAAAUAAUAUUUCUCUCAAAUUUUGUGCACAAAUUUGUUAACAUCCCUGUUAGUGAGCAUUUCUCCUUUGCCAAGAUAAUUCACAAUUGGCCCAGUGUUAUCCAGGUUUGGUCAGGGUAGGAUGUCAUUGUAAAUAAGAAUUUGUUCUUAACUGACUUGCCUAGUUAAAUAAUAGUUAACAUUAUAAUAAAUUACACAGGUACGCCUUGUGCUGGAGACAAUAAAAGGCCACUCUAAAAUGCUGAUUUUUAUCACACAUCACAAUGCCACAGGUGUCUCAAGUUUUGAGGGAGCGUGCAAUUGGCGUGCUGACUGCAGGAAUGUGCACCAGAGCUGUUGCCAGAGAAUAUAAUGUUCAUUUCUCUACCAUAAUGUUGUUUUAGAGAAUUUAACAGUACGUCCAACCCGCCUCACAACCGGAGACCACGUGAAUGGCGUUGUGUGGGUGAGCGGUUUGCUAAUGUCAAUGAGUGCCCUAUGGUGGCGGUCGAGUUAUGGUACUCGGGCAGGCAUAAGCUACAGAGAACUUGCAUGUUAUUGAUGUCAACUUGAAUGCACAAAAAUACCUUGACGAGAUCCUGAUGCCCAUUGGAGACCUGUAUCUGUGACCAACAGAUGCAUAUCUGUAUUCCCAGUCAUGUGAAAUCUAUAGAUUAGGGCCCAAUUAAUUUAUUUCAAUUGACUGAUUUCCUCAUAUGAACUGUAACUCAGUAAUAUCAAUGAAAUUGUUGCGUGUUCAGUAUAGCUAGCUACUCUCGCUUUUACCUUUGUUGAUAUAUAUUUUCAGAAGUGUAUUAGAUUUAUGAACGCUCUCCUUGCAUUCAUGAUUGGAUUCCACUGGGCACCAACUCGUUGAAUCAACAUUGUUUCAAUGCAAUUUGUCAAUGUAUUGUGACAUACAAUCUACGUGGAAACUACGUUGGAUUUGAAAAAGUAAUCAGCUGCGGUUUUGAGAAUGAAAUUGGGACCACAGGAUUAUGUCAUCAUGGUAACUACAUUUCAACAUAGACAAACCUUGAAUAAAAUAUGUUGAAUGUCUACCAUUCAAACAACGUCAGUUCUUCAACGUUAUAUCCACUCUCAGACAAAAAAAAACAAUCGGCUGGGCAGCACCUGUUACUGGAGAAUGUAUCUAUCUACAGCUACCCUUUGGUCUCCCAUCCAACUGUUUUCUCAUGUAGUUCUAUGGCUACUUAAGCAGCCCAUAUGACAGUGCAGCCCUUGUAGACUAGCACAGGAAAGCAGCGUCACAGAUGAAAGGAGAAACUCGUGAUCAAACCUGCGUUAGUAAGUAGACUAUCGUUGGUAGAGCGCAUGCGGCUCGCGUUGCUCGCUCCGACUGUCAAACAAACGUUGCGAUUUUUAGAUUUUUUUUUCAUGAAAGUAAUGCAAAGUAAUAUAACGGGUAUAAUAAACUGGGUGGUUGAGACCUGAAUGCUGAUCGUCUGAAAUCUGCGGUGUACCACGGAUAUGAAGAAAAAAAAUACGGUGGUAACCAGUAUCCAGGCAAGAACAGCCCUUAGCUGUGGUAUAUUGGCGGUACACCACACCUCCUUGGGCCUUAUUGCUUAAAUAAAACGCAUGACUUUCCAGACAAAGUAAUAUUGUAAAGUAACAUGUUACUUCUGUUAAAUGUAACAGGUAAUACGUAAUAUUUUACUUUUUCAAGUAACUAAUCCCAACACUGAUCCCAAAUGACUUGCAUAAUAAUAAAGUCACUGAUCUUAAUGCAAUUGACAAAAAUACCCCUUAUUUUAGCAAAGGUAUAAGUACUGUAAUUACGUGCUUGUAUUUAAAAAAUAACAAUACAUGUGACGUAUAAAUAAAGGUAUUUAGGUAAUAUUGGUAUAUUAGGACUUGGAUAUGUGGGGUUAUAAGGUAUUUCAGAUGUAUUUUUUUAAUUGAAUGGGAUCCUAUGGGAAAAUGGCAUAACAUGAUUUUCCUAUAAAGUAUCUAAAUAUGUGGGAUAUGUCUUGGGAUAUCAAAAAACAGUGUAGGUAACUGCUAAAAUAGUUACACGUCAAAAUAGGGGAUAGCCUCCUUUAAAGGAGAACUACACUUCCAGAUUUGGCCCAUGACUGGAGGCAAACAAGAGUUGUCUGGGGGUGUGGUUUGAUGUGGUGUUUCUUGGGUGUGUCUUUGCCAUUCAAUCACAACAAAUACGUGCAGUAGUGAGUAUGGCGAGGCAAACUAAGUUAUCUUUGCUAUGGAGAGAACAAAGUUUUAAGUUGAGGACUUCUCCCUUCCCGACUGACCAUCUCAAGAUGGUCAGCUAAUUCAGUUCUCAGUUCUUUGUGGAGGCUAAAGCGUGCGACCUUGUGUUUAGCCAAGCUGACGGCAGCUAGCUAGCAAAGCUUGGUGAUAGCUGCAGCUGACUGUCCUAUCUAGCUGAUAUUUCUCUGUCAAAUCAGUUAUGGCAAGAUAGCAAGAGCCAGUGUCUGGAAUGUGUUUCAAAUGAAACUUGUUCUACAACACCUUGCUACGAAAGUAGCUUGCAACUUAGUUGCAAUGUUUCAUUAUGACAUGUAAAUACAUGUUACUGUGGAAAUGAUAUCAACUACUGCAAGUUGAAUGUCGGGGUAUUCAGUCAGCUCAGCUGUCCUACAGCAAAAUACUCUAUAACUGGCUAGUUUUGUCUCAUCUCUCCUUGUGUCCGCUGUUAGAUCACCUUACAGGUGUAGGUUACAUAUGGACAUUGCACAAACAUCGCCCAGCUUGAGUGUAGAUACAUCAACAACAACAAAAAUUGAUGGAUGUGUUUGUGUUAAGUUUUCUGCUGUAAAUGUCAGUAUGCCUACAUUGUACUUUACAAAUCAAAAUCAGAAUAGCGCAAACAGGCUCUAACCAGAAUAGAAAGAGGAGUUGAGGUCCCGCGGCACAACUGAGCAAGAUUUUCUAAUGAUCAAUUAACCUUUUAAAAUUAUAAACAUGGAUUAGCUAACACAACAUGCCAUUGGAACACAGGAGUGAUGGUUUCUGAUAAUGGGCCUCUGUACACCUAUAUAGAUAUUCCAUAAAAAAAUCUGCCAUUUACAGCUACAAUAGUCAUUUACAACAUUAACAAUGUCUACAC